AAUCCGCCUGCUGCUCAGGGCCCUCCUCAGGGUGCCCAGCUCUCCACCAGCGGCUCCAUCGUCGGCUUGGGACGCAGAUGGCCUCAGAGGUCACCACCGGGGAGCGCAGGGAGGGGUCCACUGAGUGUCCAGGUCCUUGGGGGCCGCUCAGGGCUCGGCUGCCCUUCAUUCCCCCGCUGUGCUCACACACCCAGUGCUCACCCGCUGCAUCAGAACCCUGCUCCGCAGGAUACGGCCCUGCCGUCCUGCGGACGCUGCGUCCCCAGCGCCCACAGCAGAAACCGAGGGUUGUUGGUGCCGCGGUGGUCGAUGUCAUGGCACAGGCCGGCUGUCACCAUGGCGAAGGCCUCCAGGAGGGCCUGCACAACCCUGGUGAUUCUGGCAGCCACGUACCAUGAGCAGCGUGAACAUCGUCUGGGCCACGUUGAAGCCGUGGCGCCAGUUGUGGUAGGUGAUUCUCCGGUACCCUUUGCUGAUGGAGAACAGGAACCGCACCAGGACCUGGGGGAGCCGAGAGGACACAGGGCUCCGGCGGCAAGCGUGUAAGUCCCGCCAGAGCGGCACCUGUGGCUGACUUCACAGUGGAAGCCCUGCUCCGUGCCAUCAUCCCCACACCGUCUCCUGGACUUCCCGAUCUUCCCCAUCCCUGCGUUUCCCACUGGCCUCUGCUGGCCUUCCUGGGUAGGGGCUGCCACAUUGGCACCUAUGGGGUGGAGCCAGGUAGGGCAGGAGCUGAGAACAGCCCCAGCCUUCAGGGGCCGCCCAGCCUCCAUCCGACUGCCUGGCCUCAAGCUGGGAGGAGGACCCCUGGGGAUGCAGCAUAUUUUAAGAUGUUGGUUUUAGGCAUGGACAUUUGAAUGAGCAGAAUGUGUGGGCUGCAGGCUGGGGUGGGAGAACCGAUGUCCGCAGGGCAAGAGAAUGCUGGUCUCUCUUGCCCUGCGGACAUCGCCAGGAGGCUCUUCCUGCGGCCAUUGUGAUUUUUAGGGUCAGAAAAUUAUUUGGAAAUAUUUUUUAUUCUGCAAAUAUUUUCUAUACAUUUUUUCUUGAGUGUUUUCCCUUAGUAUUUAGUAAAACUUCUUUUGAAAAUGCUGGCCUGCUGCACCUGUUCUCAGAGGGGCAUGAGAAAAGAGGAUUCUCUUCCUAGGGCUGUGGGAAGCCCCUUGAGAUGUUGGAAGCAGGGCAGGGCAGGAGAACCCAGGGAGGGCACAGAGCUGUGGACGAGGGCUGGGAAAGCCAUCCCGCCUCCCCAGGGGGUCUCCGAGGAGUGCUGCUGUGGCCAAACCAGGGGGGCCACUUUGUGCUUUCUGUUUAGGUGAUGGGAUGCUUCUAUCUCCUCAGCACCCCACACCAAAUCCCCUGUUAUUGCCAGAUGAUGUGCCUAAUGAUCAAAUUGCUUGGAACUCCUAAUAAUAAAACUUUAAAUCUAUCCAUUCACCAUCCAUCUGCUGUCCACCCAUCCAUUCACCCAUUCAUUGACCCAUCUAUUAAUUCAUUAAUUGACCCACCUACUCAUCUAUCACUCAUCCACCCACUUCUCCAUCCAUCCACCUAUCCAUUCACUUAUCCAACCAUCUAACUACCAUUGGCCCACUCACCCAUCCAUCCAUUUAUCCAACCAUCCAACUACCAUUGGCCCACCCACCCAUCCAUUUAUCCAACUAUCCAACUACCAUUGGCAUCCACCCAUCCAUUCAUUUAUUCUUCCUUUGUUUCUUUCUGCUUGCCUGUUGGCCUUCCUUCCUUCCUAACCUCCCUCCUUCCUCCCUGCUUUUCACCCAUCCAGCCAUCCAUCAAUCCAGCCAUCCACCCAGCCAUCCAAUUAUUUGUUUUAUGCUUACUUCCCGUGUGCAUUUUACCUGUUCUGUGAUGAACAUGUCGGCCCUCUAAACUUCCUGUGGGAUCUGGAACCCCCAAUCCCAUCCCCCUCACCUUCUGGGGCACCUGAGGCCCUGAUCACAUCCCCACCCCCAUGUCCUGGGCGGCCUCAGGGACCUGACUAUGCGCCCUGCGGUGUCUCCCACCUCCUGGGGGAUCUGGAACUUUCGGACCACGCCCAGCUCGUAGUACAUCUGGAUGCCACAUUUGACCAGGUCCAGUUCGGUGCACUCCAGAUCCCCUGCCAAGCCUCAGACACCUCAGGCAUCUCUGAGGAGAUGUGUCAUUCCUGGCGCUCCAGCCUGUAUCCCAGGCUGCUCACACGCCCCCCUGGCUCAGCCUCACUCUCCCCUCUUGUACCCUGUGGCCCAACAGUGAAGAACUUGCCCAGUUGGGUGGACAGGGUGAUGUUGUUGAGACAAGAAAACACAAAGGUGUGCACAUGAAAAGAAACACACACACACACGGAUACAGACACACGUGACACAGGCACACCUGGAUACACGGCCACUCCCAUGAAUACAAAGGCACCGGUGUGGACACACAGGCACACACAUGAGCACCCAGGCACACCCACAGACAUGCAGGCACACACGUGCAGACUCACGCAUGUAGGCUCACACACACAGCCAUGAGGUAACACACACAACAGUGGACUUUCAGACCCACCAGGCACAUUCCCAUGCUCAGUCCAAGGCCUACUCACAAGGCUCGUGGCCCCGGGAGAUUCUGGCUAAAUUGCAUAGGCAGACACAGGGUGAUGGGGACACCACAUAAUCCCCACAUUGAUCCAGCAAUCGUCUCUAGGAGACACACACAAGCAUGUGUCUAUAUAUAUCCAUGUGCACACACAUGCACACACAAUACACACCCCCUGUGCACAUGUGAGCACACACACAUGGGUGCACACACGGGCACACACACACAAACGCCCAUGUGCACACACAUGCACACACAUACUCGUGGGCACACAUGUGCACACACAUGUGUACACAUGUGCACAUUCAUACAAUGCACACACGCACACACAUACCCACAUGUGCACACACACACCCACAUGUGCACACAUGUACACACCUGUGCAGACGCCCACGUGUGCACACACACCUACAUGCACACACACGUACACACUUGUGCACACACAGACACCCACAUGUGCACACACAUGCACACAGACACCCAUGUGCGUGCACACAUGCGGAUGCACACACACUGGGAGUUGCAGGCACCUAGGCACUCUGAGAGCAGAGAUGACAUAGAUGGACACAGAGUCCAAGUCAGGCCCACUAAACAUCCGGUGAAAACUAAACAUCUGGCAAAGCACAGAGGAGACAGGAAGACACGAAGAUACACUCAGGAGUGCAGACAUCAAAGCCACAUUCUGGCCAUGCAAACACACUCAGGGACACACUGGCUGAGACUGAAAGCCAGGCUUAUGUACACACACGUACACUAAGGUGCUUAGAUACACAAGUAUACACACACAGCACCAACAUCCCUGAUGACCGUGUGUGCAAAGCACCGUCGGGUCCCGGAGAAUGCAGAACUCUUCCUCCCAGCCUCACACGUGGCCGGCCUCCAUGGGAGGGACGGGAGCAAGGUUCUUACCAGGAUUUCGCCCAGCUCGUCCUCAUCGCAGUCAGCAGGCUCCUUCCCCAGGCGCGCUCUGGUUGGCUACACAGAGACACAGAUGUGUCACGAGAAAGAGCUUCGCAUGUGGGACAAGGUGACGGCGGUGCGUCCACCCCGUGUGAGCUAGAGGAAGGUGCUGUCAAGAGCUUGUGCUUUCACCCUGGGAAGGCCCUGGCGGCCUCUGAUCUGGAGACAAAUGACCGUGUGCAUGGCCUGCUGACUUUCCCACCUGUCCUCUCUCGGGCACUGCCUUACGCAGUCCUCAGAGCCAUGACCUCUGGGUGACCCCUGGAUGGACCCCUGGACGACCUGCCCCCACCACACAGCCGUGACCCCUGGAUGACCUGCCCCCACCGCACAGCCAUGACCCCUGGCCGAGACCCCUGGGUGACCCCUGGACGACCUGCCCCUGCCACACAGCCGUGACCCCUGGGUGACCCCUGGACGUCCUGCCCCGCCGCACCAGGAUGAGCUGGAUCUCGUCCCUGUCGCACUUCACGUGGUAAAGGACCAUGUCCUGUGCGAUGUCCUUGCGGUUCUCCAGCUUGUUCAUCUUGUCGUAGGUGUCGGUGUUCAUCACUGACCAGCCCAGGAACUGUGUCAGGGACUGGAGGGGAUGGCAGUGUCACUGGCGCUCAGCGCUCCCGGCGCGCCCCCUCCCAUGUGCCUGUGUGCCAGGCCCCGUGGCUCGGCGGGCAGGUCCUGGGGCUGCCACCAUGGUGUCGCAGUGCUUCUGUGUGGGGUCUCCCGGGUGCUCUGCAGAGGCUCCUGCUCCCGGGGGGGCCCUUUGUCGUCCUCUCCCUGGCCGCAUGCAUACCGCACACACAUGAGCACACGCACACAGCCGAAUGCUUGGCGGGGAGGCCCCCACACCGCACAGGCCCCACCCCUCGCAGGGCAUCCCCGGCGGAACCACGUCUGCCCAGGUGCUUACCUCCAUGAGAACCUCGUCCUGUUCGUCAAAGGGCUUCCCGUCUUUCCUGUUGUAAAAUGUGGCGACUCCCACAAUCUCCUCCUUCUUGUUGACGAUGGGCAUGGACAGCACAUUCUUGAUGAGCCACCCGGAGUCGUCCAGGGCCCCUUCCUGCGGGAGCGGUGUCCAGAGCUGAGCUCCGCCCUGAGGCUGGCCCUGGCCCGGGCGUGUGGCCGGGGAGAGUGACCUCAUGUCUUCUCCCCUAGAGCCGUGACGGCUGGGCUCGUGUUCCUGUCUCUGCUCUCUGCAUUCCCUCUCUCCCUCUCUGCAUUUGGAGUUUGUGUCCAUGGUUUUUGUGUCAUGAUAUUUUCCCACCGGAGGAGGUAGAGGCCGUUUUCCCACCAGGAGUGGUUUCAUGGGCAUGUGUGUGGGGCGGCGGUCACGGCCUCGCAGGGGUGUGUGGGGGCCGCGGUCACGGCCUCGCAGGGGUGUGUGGGGGCCGCGGUCACGGCCUCGCAGGGGUGUGUGGGGGCCGCGGUCACGGCCUUGCGGGCGUGUGUGGGGGCUGUGGUCACAGCCCCAGGUGAUCCACCCGCCUCAGCCUCCCAAAGUGCUGGGAUUACAGGCGUGAGCCACCAUGCCUGGCUGAAGUUGUUUUUUAAGUGGCAAAAACGAAUUCACUUCAUCAUCGCUGAAUCAAAAUCUCCUCUUUUGUAAGUAAGUAUAAUUUCUACCAAGGCACAGACAGAUACCUGAAAUUUGAACAUUUCGUCAGCGGAAGCAUUCAUGAUGUUACAAAUCUGAAAAAGCAUCAGAAAAACGAUUUCAUCCAAAACAGCGGAAGGUCUGUUAUGAUCUAAAAUGGCCUCUGUGGCCCUGAGGUGAGCUUUUAAGUAGGUAAAGCAGGGCAGCUGGGGGCUUCACUGAGGCACGUGGAGCUGGCCGGGAGGGCGGGACGUGGCAGAGACAAGGAGAAGCACACAUCGCCGCACCCAGUGAGGGCAAGGCUGUGGGGACUCCAGACAGCACGGGACUCACAAAGCCGCUUUCUGCCACGUAGCUUGGAAGGCCGCUGGCCAGGGCCCAGUGAUCGGCUGAGGGUGUGCUGUGGGCAGAGAGCAGGGGUCAGAUAGGCCACGCCGGGCUGGAUGUGCGCGUGCAGGAGUCAGAGGGACUGGAUGUCUGUGUGCAGGGGUGAGAGGGGCUGGUCUAGGCUGCACGUGUGUGUGCAGGGGUCAGAGGGGCUGGUCUGGGCUGCACGUGUGUGUGCAGGGGUCAGAGGGGCCAGGCUGCGCUGGAUGUAGGUGUACUGGGGUCAGAUGGACUGGGCGUGUGUGCAGGGGUCUGGGGGUCUCUGGCUCAUGUGCCAUCCUCAGCAUUUACUCUCUUCUCUGAGUGCCAGGGGGUUCAGGAGGCGAGGAGGCCAGGGCGUGGGUUGGAGGACGGCUGUGCUGCCUUCUUCCUCCUCCCCAGGCUGCCGUGCUGGGGCCCCUCCCUCUUGGGAACCCCUCCCUCUCCGGAGGCCGUAUGGCUUCAGCCUGCUUUCUAGGACUCAGCGUUGGUGCCUGCCCUGCCACCCUGACCCUGACUUGUGCUCAAGCCUGGCACCUGGAUCCUGGUUCCUGCUUGGGGCCUGGGGAUGGGGUCCCAAUAGGCUUAUGGGAUCACAGGGCCACUGGGCCACCAGCUGCCCCUCCCUUGGCUGGAGUCCUGCCCUGACCUCCGGACUGGAGUUCCCCUCCUCUUCCAGCCCCACGGGGCCAAGACUCGGCCUCCUGGCUGGAGGCUCCACUGUCUGGGUGGGGCUGGUGGUGCCAGGGUCAAAUCCUGGGGCCUUCAUGCUCAAUUGUUGCUGACGAGGCCGCCUGGACAGCUUGCCUGGUCCCCUGUAUGUCCACUCUGGAUGUCCACAGUGACUCGGGCUCCUCAGCAGCCCACGUCCUCCUCACCAUCUCCCAGAACAGAGGCCCACGGAGUACCGCUCGCAGUUGAGGUAGGCCCGCACCGUGUAGAAGGCCUUGUGGAACUGCCUCUCGAUGUCCGUCAGCUCCUCAAACACCUUGUUGGCCGACCACAGCAGCACCUGGAGGGAGGGGCACACCUGUGGGCCUGUGGCCACUCCCACCCUCACGCCGGUCUGACCACAGCAGCAGGGGUUUAACUCAAGCCUGACACAGGUUUCAUCUGAGCUUGUGGGGCCCGGGAGCUGGCUGGCGGUGAGGCCUCGAGGCUGCGGUCGUGUCCCUGAUCACUCAGGAGUGGACGAGUGGAAAGUGGAAUCUGUCGCUUUGAGCUUGACAGGCAAACAUCCGACCAGCCCUUCCUCCGCCCGGCUGCUCCAGAACCACCUGCGGCGAGCAGGGCUUUGAGAACAUCGGGCCGUGGUUUCCGCACGUCAGGCCGCCUGUGGCCUCCGCCAAGCGUCUGAGAGUGAAGCAUUGCUGACGCACUCCACGAGGUCCUGGCCAGACCCCACUCAGGACAUCCCGCUGCACAGGCCCCUGGUUGCUGGGUCAGCGCUGCCACCAGGCUCAGACUCACCCCAGGGCCCUCCUUGGGCCACCUUUCUCUGCCUCCUUGGUCAAGGCCCAGACCCAGGCCCCACCAGGCCCUGCCUCCUCACACUCGCGGCGGCCGCUGGGUCUUCUACCGCAUGGUGCCAGCUCCCUCUCCUCCGCUGCGGUGUCCUAGCCCAGCUCUCUCCCUGCCAGGCCCUCUGAAGUUCCACCCCCUGGCACUCAGCUCAUGGUGGGAACAGGACCAGGCUCUCCUGUUGCCAAGGGCAGUGAGAUGUUCGUAGCUUUAUUUCCCAGUACAUUGAUUUUACUGAUUUUAGUUUAUCUUCAGUUGAAUAAUUGUGUGUAUUGAUGGGGUUUAUGUUUUAUGGGGUUUGGCGUGAUGUUCUGAUGUAAGUAUUUGUUGCAGAAAGAUUCAAUUAAGCUAAUCAACAUAUCCAUCACCUCACCAACUUGUUUUUUUUGUGGUGAGAACAUUACAAGUCUAUUUUCUAGCAAUUUGGUAUACAAUACAGUCAUCCCUCGGCAUCCUCAGGGAAAUUGGUUCCAGGACGCCGCUCUGAUAACAAAAUCCGAGGAUGUUCAAGUCCCGGAUGUGAAAUGGCCUAGAGUUUGUACAGAGGUUGCACACGCACCCCCAGGACUUCAAAUCAUCUCCGAUGACUUAGCACCCAGUGCAAGGCAAGGCCAUGAAAACGGCUGUUCUACUGUAUUGUUUUACAUUCUUAUUCUUAUUUUUAAUUUAAAACUUUUCCCACAUCAUAAAUCCUCGGAAG
Molecule: long non-coding RNA, 7712 nt
Filed under: Homo sapiens (human)
Lineage: Eukaryota; Metazoa; Chordata; Mammalia; Primates; Hominidae
Description: non-protein coding lnc-ATP5ME-1:7
Source: RNAcentral